UGCAGCUUACAGGGAUUUCCUAUUCCAAACUUUUGAGGUUUCAACUGUGGAUAUGGAGAGUUCUGCUGUAGUAAUGACAUGCUUAUCAAAUGGCUACCCUGUAAUUGUCAUCCGAGGAAUGUCAGACUUAGCUGGAAGACAAUCAGGAGAGAAUCAAAUUCGUAUAUUCGGUUCCCUUGCAGCUCUCAAUGUUGCUAAAGCUGUUGUUAAAUUUAUCAGCAAGCUCGCAGGGGAUGUUUAUGAUUCUAGUUCUGGAAAGUAACAAUUUUAUUAACAUGCCAG
Molecule: unclassified non-coding RNA, 282 nt
Filed under: Hevea brasiliensis (rubber tree)
Lineage: Eukaryota; Viridiplantae; Streptophyta; Magnoliopsida; Malpighiales; Euphorbiaceae
Source: RNAcentral